UGAGGAAUAUUGCGCAAUGGGCGAAAGCCUGACGCAGCGACGCCGCGUGGGGGAUGAAGGUCUUCGGAUUGUAAACCCCUUUCGGGAGGGAAGAUGGAAUGGGGUAACCCAUUCGGACGGUACCUCCAGAAGCAGCCACGGCUAACUUCGUGCCAGCAGCCGCGGUAAUACGAAGGUGGCAAGCGUUAUUCGGAUUUACUGGGCGUACAGGGAGCGUAGGCGGUUCGGUAAGCCCUUUGUGAAAUCUCCAGGCUUAACCUGGAACAGUCGGAGGGGACUGCCGGGCUAGAGGACGGGAGAGGAGCGCGGAAUUCCCGGUGUAGCGGUGAAAUGCGUAGAGAUCGGGAGGAAGGCCGGUGGCGAAGGCGGCGCUCUGGAACGUUUCUGACGCUGAGGCUCGAAAGCGUGGGGAGCAAACAGGAUUAGAUACCCCAGUAGUCCCUGAGCGGGCUGGCAAGGCGCAU
This 464-nucleotide ribosomal RNA is filed under the name uncultured bacterium. RNAcentral's name for it is "bacterial SSU rRNA". It matches the Rfam family "Bacterial small subunit ribosomal RNA", at positions 355 to 825 of the family's 1533-position model. The record is from RNAcentral.